AUGGGGAGCCACAAAAUGGCUGAAAGCAGCAACAACAAAGACUUGGCUUUCUCACACCUGCUCCCACACGCUGGGCUGCCUGGAGAAAAGUUACCACAGCCACAGCCCGACCCGCGCUCUCUUGCCACAGACCUUUAGAAGACAGGAGGAUUUCACCUCAGGAGACGCCCUCCUUUGCCUCCCAGAUGAUUUAGAUGAAUCUACCAUAGUGCACCAGCAACAUCUAGCAUCACACUUAUGCUGUUUUUUAACCUGUGAUUUGCAUAUUGCUUCCCUUGCAAAACUGGAAACAUCUUCAAAGGAAGGGAUGCUUCUCAGUGUUUGCAUCUCCAGCGCCUAGGACAGCGUUUGCAGAGAGCAAAUGCUCAGUGUAUGAAUCCCAUUGCUUGUGAAGCUGUGAUUAUGACCCUGGUCUCCUUGGCUAUCACAGGAACCAAGCCCCACUCUGCUUUGGUGUAAGCCCAGAGUAGUUCAAGCCAAGGGUGCUCUGACGUGGACUCAGUCCCUGGCCGGUGAUGACUCAUUGCUGGGGCUUUCCCUUCCAGGGAUUCAUCUGAUAGACGGGAGCUCCUAGAAUGCCUUACCUCCCAUUGGAUGCGGGAUUCCAGCACUGCCAC
RNAcentral lists this long non-coding RNA (617 nucleotides) under Equus caballus (horse). RNAcentral's name for it is "lncRNA (ENSECAG00000058143.1)". The record is from RNAcentral. Lineage: Eukaryota; Metazoa; Chordata; Mammalia; Perissodactyla; Equidae.